GAUGAACGCUGGCGGCGUGCCUAACACAUGCAAGUCGAGCGAAGCACUUACUUUAGAUUUCUUCGGAAUGACGAAGUUUGUGACUGAGCGGCGGACGGGUGAGUAACGCGUGGGCAACCUGCCCUGUACAGGGGGAUAACAGUUAGAAAUGACUGCUAAUACCGCAUAAGCCCACAGCUUCGCAUGAAGCAGUGGGAAAAACUCCGGUGGUACAGGAUGGGCCCGCGUCUGAUUAGCUAGUUGGUAAGGUAACGGCUUACCAAGGCGACGAUCAGUAGCCGACCGGAGAGGGUGACCGGCCACAUUGGGACUGAGACACGGCCCAAACUCCUACGGGAGGCAGCAGUGGGGAAUAUUGCACAAUGGGGGAAACCCUGAUGCAGCGACGCCGCGUGAGCGAUGAAGUAUUUCGGUAUGUAAAGCUCUAUCAGCAGGGAAGAAAGUGACGGUACCUGACGAAGAAGCCCCGGCUAACUACGUG
RNAcentral lists this ribosomal RNA (481 nucleotides) under uncultured bacterium. Its description in RNAcentral is "partial 16S ribosomal RNA". It matches the Rfam family "Bacterial small subunit ribosomal RNA", at positions 28 to 507 of the family's 1533-position model. The record is from RNAcentral.